Molecule: small nuclear RNA, 160 nt
Filed under: Saccharomyces cerevisiae YJM1252
Lineage: Eukaryota; Fungi; Ascomycota; Saccharomycetes; Saccharomycetales; Saccharomycetaceae
Also listed under: 1 other name
Description: SNR14
Rfam family: U4 spliceosomal RNA
About the family: U4 small nuclear RNA (U4 snRNA) is a component of the major U2-dependent spliceosome. The structure of U4 snRNA from yeast and human has been reported.
Source: RNAcentral
AUCCUUAUGCACGGGAAAUACGCAUAUCAGUGAGGAUUCGUCCGAGAUUGUGUUUUUGCUGGUUGAAAUUUAAUUAUAAACCAGACCGUCUCCUCAUGGUCAAUUCUGUGUUCGCUUUUGAACACUUCAGGACUAUGUAGGGAAUUUUUGGAAUACUUUU